AAAUUAUCAAGAGCAUACGUGUGGGAACUGGCCCAAUAAGCGUAUCAGCAACCCUUAAACAAUGACCUGUUUAAGAAGGUGCUAAUUCCAGACCCAAAUCAGAGAAAGAUAAAAG
RNAcentral lists this non-coding RNA (115 nucleotides) under Parcubacteria group. Its description in RNAcentral is "SAM-I sequence". It matches the Rfam family "SAM riboswitch aptamer (S box leader)". Rfam says of the family: The SAM riboswitch is found upstream of a number of genes which code for proteins involved in methionine or cysteine biosynthesis in Gram-positive bacteria. The record is from RNAcentral.